This 7373-nucleotide long non-coding RNA is filed under the name Ananas comosus (pineapple). Its description in RNAcentral is "long non-coding RNA (ACOM_LNC036626)". Lineage: Eukaryota; Viridiplantae; Streptophyta; Magnoliopsida; Poales; Bromeliaceae. The record is from RNAcentral.
UAGAAACAAUAAUAAACGAAAGAGAUGUAUAAGGUAAUGAGCAGAUAUACCGAAUACAGUAGCAAUAAACUGAAAAAAAGUAAGAACUAGACUGAAUAACGGCUACCGCUACUGUAACUGGAACAGAAAGCAUACAUGAAUAUCUACUAUAGUAGCAAGACAACUAUAAAGCAAGAACUGUAAGUAUGCAUGCAACGACUGCUAUUAUAGACAUAUGCGUCAACUGGAUGUAAAGACCAAAUAUACCCAAUCUGAAAUCUGCUGCUCUGUUGGUCCGUACAUGAACCUCAAGCCUGUGCCACUACUACUCUCCAAUGCAUAUAACCCCUCUAGGGCUCACGGGUUGACACCUGCAACCACUUUUUCGGAAAAGAACACUCCUUGCGGUGGAUCAGACCGCCAGUAUUCGUGAAAUGCGACGAGUAUCGGGCGGUCAAUGCUGAUAUGCUCAAAGGCCAAACGUCGGCAACCAGCCGACAAUCCUGCCCACAGGGCUCAUCGACCGUAUAGGUCAUCAACUGUAAGGAAGCACAAGAACUAACCACUCAGGUCAACUAGGAUGGGACAACAUCAACAUCCUCUCAAACAUAUGCAAAUACUGCUCAAUGAACCACAAGGACUGACCACUCAGAUCAACUAGGAUAUAUGCACAACGAAUCGACGAAUAAGUCAUCAGGGUGUAUCAAUAGAAUCCAGAACUACCGUCGGCCACUAGGCAACAAUCCAACCCCUUUAGGGUACAUCGAUUACAACGGUCAUCGAGCGACAGAAGUCAAGGAACCGAUCGCAUGUGUCACAAAUACGGGAUACAAGAACAGACCAACCAGGUCACUAAUACGAAGUACGAGAACCAACCAACCAGGUCACUGAUAUGAAGUACAAGAAUCGAUCAACCAGGUCAACAGAUACGCACAUAGAUAGAAACACUCUACUCCUACUCAGGAUACUAAGCAUGCAAACAACGAGUAGAGUAUAAUGGAAUAACAUGGGUGUAAGGCUCAAUAUAUACUAUGUAAUAUUAACAACCGAAGAGUAAGGAAAAGAAACCAUCACCGAGCGUGCACCACUGUACCGACGUCGGAUCGAAGUACCCACCUGAACGUGUCUGAUGAAAAUUUCUCGACUGUGAAGACAGUGCAACCGAACCUACGAGAGGUCCAACGGUUUAGGAUCUAACCCACUGACAUGUAACGCUAACUCACAACCCCCCUCAUAGCCCCAUAGAAUCGAUUUCCCAAAACCGAUUACCGAACAUGCCGGAAGUUCCGAAAACCGCACCGGAACUUCACCGUCGCUCACCCGUCGUUUUCGAACCCUCGAAACGACACGGGUGACCAGCCAACAAGGCUCAGCGAUGCUACAAUCAACCACGAGGCACCGUCGGAUGAAUUCUGAAUCGAAAACGCGUUCUAUCGGCGGAUUUCGCCGAAAAACGCUCCGGAAAUCACUUUUCGAUUUCCGCAAGGGCUUGGGGCCUUGGACGAUCAGUCCAGAGGUUAUCCUCCGCCCAAACAGGCUGCCAACAGCAGCUACAUCGAAGCAAAAAUCCUAAAAGCCCUUACUAUAGCAUGCAAUCUCAUUAUUUUAUGCGAUUUACCCAAUUUUAUGGCUCGUUAGCGCAACCUAGGGUUUAUUCGGCCAGGGCGAGACACUCGCUGUUAGGUCUCGGCGUGCCGGAGGCCGUGCUCACCUUUCGGAGAACGGCCGACCACUGCGGUGCGCGCACGAGCGACGCGAAGAUCUGUGAAACAGUGCGCACAGCGCUAAGAUAGCGACUAACUCGCUAACCAGGGCAUCUCUGCCGCUGUCGGAGGUGAGCACGAUGUUCAGCACGAACCCUAGAUCAUCGUGCUCACUUCCCGCGGUGGCGGGGAGUCAUCGAAUAACCGGAAAGGUGGCCGGAAAGCUAAACUUCUAUGCUGGAAUAUAAAAAUAGCUUUACCGGACCCGAGGAGACCUAGGGUUGGUCGCCGGCGGCCGGGAGGCGGGCACUCCGGCCGGGGAUGGGAGCGGCCGGUCAGUGGGGUCCGGGGAACCAGAUGGCCGGAGUCUGGAGGCGGCCGGUGGCGCGGCGGAGGAGAUCGACUCCUCAAAGCUGUUCUCGGGUUCAAGCUUCCCGGCGGCGCGGUGGCGGCCGGAGGAGAUCGGGGCGGCUACGGUACGGCGGCGGAGGCUGAGGGGAAGGUGGUGCACCCCCCGGUAGGCGGCGGCGGCGCUUGGAAGCAGAGCAGACUCGGCCUCAGCCCGCACGGUUCUAGGCGGCCGCAAGAUGGAGGAGCGGCGACCGGCGGCGCGCGGGGACGGCGGGGGACGCGCGCGCGGGGUUGCCGGAGGUCGCUGGGGCCGACAGGAGGGCGGCGAGGCCAAAGGAAGGCAACGGCGGCACGCGGAUACCGAGAUCACCCAGGCUCGGUCUUGGUGACUGCAGGUGGACGCAGCUUGCACAGGGGCUCCGGCGGCGCGCAGGGACGGCGGGGGCCGGCGCCGGAGAUGGGCCUCGGCCAAAGGAUGAUGGAGCUCGGGCCCGGAUGCUCCCCCGGGCCCAACAACCAAGGAUGUGGCAAGUCGGAGCUAGAGGGAAACCGAGAAGAAGCCGGGGUGACUUUUCCGGCGGCCGGAGCAGCUCGCCGGCGGCCGGGGCAUGAGCACUGGUUGGGCAGGGUGGAGGUGGGGCGGCUAGGGCAGCUAGGGAUGAUAAUUAGGGUUAGGGUUCCCUGGUUGAACCCUAGAACCCUAUUUAUUCUAUGUGUACAAUUACGGAAAACCCCUCAUAGUUCAGUAAUUCUUACCAAGCCCCCUGCCUGCAUGUGGAUUAUUCGUAUAGGUCCCUCAACGUUCGAAUUCGCGCAAGACCGCACAUAAAAUAUUGGACCUUUUCGCGAAUAAUCGAUUUUGCCAACUUGACCUCUCAGCGGACUUUUCAAGAUUCCCGAAGAUCCGUCCGUCGGAUUUCCGAACGGAUUGCGCCAGCGCUUUCAGUACGACUGGGGCAUCGAAUCUAGCAUUUUAUUUCAUCGAAUUUGGUCUUCGAUCAGCGACGAAACAUGCCCUCUUCGUUUUCACCAUAUAACCACUUAUGUUAAUACAUGUAAUUUCCAUUAAACCCCUUUUUCUCGACAACCGUGCCUCAGAACCCAAUUCCGUCAGUGCCAUUGGUUCCAGAAUAGCUGAACCGAUUGAAACGAGCUAUUGGAUCACUAUGAACGGAGUCCGAUACGCGCCGAAAGCCAACUCUACUCCGUGGCUUCACCGAAAAACCAGGUUACUAUUCACUUUAAGUGAAAACUAAUAAUCGCGUAACUUCUCCAUUCGAACUCGGUUUCUCCUGAAACUUGACGAGUGCUUUUGUAAUUAAAUUACACACCUAAACAUCGUCAACAGGGAGUUUAGUUGCACUGUCAAAAUUUCAGUCCUUACAUUAUCCCCCCCUUAAAAGAAGUUUCGUCCCGAAACUUGACCACGUACCCAUUGAAAUAGAAUUCAGAAAUUACUUCCACCACUGUGGUAUCACCUUUGAGUAUUGGUCAAUUACAUUUUCAUGAAUUUGGACAGAUCAAUCUCCGAAUAAGGGAAGAAUAGGACUGCGGUUCUACUCGAACCACACGAGAGAGAGCGUACCAACCCAAAAUCUACGAACCAAGACUUACCAGGAUCAAUAUCAUCCUAUAUCCUGUGGACAAAAACAGUCCCGCGACCAGGAUUAUUCGAUUCCAACUUGCCAAUUCUGAGAUAGUAAUUCAACACUCCGAAGCUCUAGAUCCACUCUACCUUGGUCCGUGUAGCCGUAACCGACUCGACUACGUUGCUAGUUCACGUAGAAGAGACACGAGUCAACACCACAAGUUUGGAGUCUAUUCACGUAGACUGAAACAAAAUACUCCUGACUAACCAACAACAUCAACCUGCUCAUCACGAGCAAAAAAGAAACGUAGCUCUAAGACCUUAGUCAAAACUCUUACCUUGGAGACCACAGUUUCCUACCAGUAACCACACAACUGCCAAAACCUCCAAUAACGGAAAGUCUCCUACGACAAUCUAUAGUCCUAGGUCCAAGAUCUCACUUUCCACCUGUCCACAAGAUCUAAGGCUGACAAUACUAAUUGAGCUCGACAAUUUUGUCCCCUCAAACUUAGUCCGGUACCAACAGACCACCAAAUGCCCUUUGCAAGUCCAUCAUUUGAUGCACAGGUCGCAAAUCGCAAAUGCGAUACUAACCAUCGGUGAUGCUCAACACCUGUCUCUACGAGACCCUGUCGCUGCCGUCCUACAAGGGACCCUAGCGAUCGAUGUUCCCAGCAACACGCGAUUACUUGUAUCAUUGAGACUCCAGCGCACCUGUCAUCAAUUAACCGGACAAGCAAGCUAACCCAAGGUUUACACGAUAAGCCAAGUCGCAAACAUUUCAUGCUAUCACAUACGGUGAUGAUCAAAGCCAACAACCAGGCUCAAGUCGCUCAACCACUGAUUCUAAACCUCACGACAACAGACCGAGACUACUAAAUAACCAAACCUUUUAGUUGUGGAAGGCACAACUAAAGAAUUAAGAACACUCAGACUCGAACCAACGUCAGAACCAUCAGCAGUGACGAUAAGUCAACUGCACAAAACCUACCAGGGAAUAAUCCAAGGCUCGCUACAUGGUCAAAGAUGAUCAUCACUUAAGCUUUCUCCUAAGACAAGCUAGAGCGAAUACUGACCCAAUCCAAAAUGUCCUAAACAGGGAAAAGGGUAUUUCGUCCUAACUUUCGACAGUACAUUGUCUGCAGCCAAGGUACUUAUCAAAAGAAAAGCGAAAUAUCCGAAGAUUCGCUACCAACAACGAGUUGGAAGUGUGACACGUCAAAGUAUCAAGCCACCUGAUACCUCUUCACUGAACCAAGAGUUCACAACCCUUGCAUCGACUUUAUAAGUCGACAUUCGAAAUCAGAACGACCCUGAACCGACUCUCAGGGAGUCCUAUAACUUUCAACAUCCAAAAGCUACUAACGACACUAAGCCGCGCACCGUACUAACUGAGGCUUUAGAAAACGGUUUCUCUAAUCGAUUUUCGCACCUCAACCGAGUUAUAAUCAAAGCUCCGAGAAUUCCGACAAUAACCUGGAGUCUCUCGAAUCAAGACGGAUCCUACUAAACCAUCUACUAUCUCCUGACACUAAUUUAGGUGUUAGAACAAUCGCAUACGAUGUAUGUAUCAACAGGGACCUGACACCAAAACUGUGUCAAUCCGACUCGGGNUUAGAAAACUGGAAAUGGAGCAAGUAAGAAGGAUGGGCUCAGCCUAACUGUGUCAAAACCACAGUCCAGGGACAACUAUGUAUGUAGCAUACGCUAACAAGAUUGUGGAUUUAAUCACAGUCCUCUAUCAUCUACCAAAUCAUCCUAGCGAACCGCUGAUUCGAAUCAGCAAUCAAAAAGGAUAGGUAGGCAUCACAACCCCACCCUAAGAUCUGCGGAAGCAACACUAACAAUGCAAUCGCCGAAACGACCGCUAUCCAAACCUUGGGCUAUGCCCUAGUAGCCCCACUGAAGUCACGAUCGUAACUGAUCACAGUGCCGUCUCCGUAGAGACACUCGCAACAGCUCUCGUAUCCAAAGUAGAGAGAGUGGCCUAGGCGUCGACAAUUAUGACACUUGCCUAGGCCCGAAAAUUUCACUUGGCCCUUCAAGGCCCCACCUGACAGGAGUGGCAACACCUGGGGGACGUCGCCCCACUACUCUCGACUUAGACACCAGCUUGUGCGAACCGUAACACAUACAGAAAUACCAUGCACUUCAAGUUUACCAAACUCGAAUGCACACCGGGACACAAGCCCAAACCCCUCACUCACGUGCCUAUACACCGUAGGUCUUCCUAUGGGUCAACCUAACUAAUGGUUCAGUUUCAUUUAUUUUUCAAAACAACCUGUGAAUGGUGUUAUGGUUGUAACCUGACUCUGAUACCACUUUAAUCUAUCACGCCCCGGAGUCCUUUUUUGUUUGAACACAGCGGAAAAAGCGUCUAAAAUUUUUUUUUGAAAACCUUACCCCAGAGUAUGCCAGAUCCGCCACAAAUACAGGAAUUCCACUGUUCACACGAACAGAGUCUCCCCUGUAUUUGCACGGCGUCGCACAAGUACAACAGUACAAACAGAAUACAACCACCUAAAUGAAUAUAGAAAUAAUUAUUCAUUCAUACAUUCAUACAUUCACCAUUCAUAUCACAGAUUUGUAUUUAAUAUUUAAACAUAAAUCCACAGAAAAUUCUUUUGAAAACUGUUUCCUACACGGAAACCUUUAUUCUUUAAAAACGCUACCACGAGGGGUAGAAAACCUUUCCAUUUCACAAAAUCCACAAAUCCAUUUAGUAUAUUCAUGAAAACCCAUAUUUUCAAAUGUAAUAAAAUAUAUUGAACCAUAUAAACUAUCUAAGCUAUAUCAAUAUAAUAGUAAGGGUAGAACUAAACCGAAUAACCUGGGUCGGAAGCUCUAUCGACCGCUACGUAUCUCACGUCUCGUCUCAACCCUCACCGCCCGCGAUACCUGAAAAAUAGUGGGGGAGAUGAGAACAUGUAAAUAUGUCUCCCCUCCCAGUGGGUACCGCAAGCCGAAAAAGACGAGGAGUACUCACCGGAUCAUGAAGAGCUAUACAACAACACCGGUCAGUGGAAAUACAGUAGAAAUAAUAAUAAACGAAAGAGAUGUAUAAGGUAAUGAGCAGAUAUUCCGAAUAAAGUAGCAAUAAACUGAAAGAAAGUAAGAACUAGACUGAAUAACGGCUACCGCUACUGUAACUGGAACAGAAAGCAUACAUGAAUAUCUACUAUAGUAGCAAGACAACUAUAAAGCAAGAACUGUAAGUAUGCAUGCAACGACUGCUACUAUAGACAUAUGCGUGAACUGGAUGUAAAGACCAAAUAUACCCAAUCUGAAAUCUGCUGCUCUGUUGGUCUGCACCUGAACCUCAAGCCUGUGCCACUACUACUCUCCAAUGCAUAUAACCCCUCUAGGGCUCACGGGUUGACACCUGCAACCACUUUUUCGGAAAAGAACACUCCUUGCGGUGGAUCAGACCGCCAGUAUUCGUGAAAUGCGACGAGUAUCGGGCGGUCAAUGCUGAUAUGCUCAAAGGCCAAACGUCGGCAACCAGCCGACAAUCCUGCCCACAGGGCUCAUCGACCGUAUAGGUCAUCAACUGUAAGGAAGCACAAGAACUAACCACUCAGGUCAACUAGGAUGGGACAACAUCAACAUCCUCUCAAACAUAUGCAAAUACUGCUCAAUGAACCACAAGGACUGACCACUCAGAUCAACUAGGAUAUAUGCACAACGAAUCGACGAAUAAGUCAUCAGGGUGUAUCAAUAGAAUCCAGAACUACCGUCGGCCACUAGGCAAC